GACGGAAGUCUGAUGCAGCAACGCCGCGUGCGGGAUGACGGCCUUCGGGUUGUAAACCGCUUUCAAUUGUGACGAAGCUUUUUUGUGACGGUAGCAGUAGAAGAAGCACCGGCUAACUACGUGCCAGCAGCCGCGGUGAUACGUAGGGUGCGAGCGUUGUCCGGAUUUAUUGGGCGUAAAGAGCUUGUAGGCGGUUUGUCGCGUCGGGAGUGAAAACUUGGGGCUUAACCCUGAGCUUGCUUUCGAUACGGGCUGACUUGAGGGAGGUAGGGGAGAAUGGAAUUCCUGGUGGAGCGGUGGAAUGCGCAGAUAUCAGGAGGAACACCGGUGGCGAAGGCGGUUCUCUGGACCUUUCCUGACGCUGAGAAGCGAAAGCGUGGGGAGCGAACAGGCUUAGAUACCCUGGUAGUCCACGCCGUAAACGGUGGGUACUAGGUGUGGGGGACAUUCCACGUUCUCCGUGCCGUAGCUACGCAUAAGUACCCCGCUGGAGUACGCGCAGGGCUAACUCAAGAUGACGGGCCGCACA
RNAcentral lists this ribosomal RNA (529 nucleotides) under Arachnia propionica. RNAcentral's name for it is "bacterial SSU rRNA". It matches the Rfam family "Bacterial small subunit ribosomal RNA", at positions 374 to 927 of the family's 1533-position model. The record is from RNAcentral. Lineage: Bacteria; Bacillati; Actinomycetota; Actinomycetes; Propionibacteriales; Propionibacteriaceae.